This 262-nucleotide unclassified non-coding RNA is filed under the name Hevea brasiliensis (rubber tree). The record is from RNAcentral. Lineage: Eukaryota; Viridiplantae; Streptophyta; Magnoliopsida; Malpighiales; Euphorbiaceae.
ACAUUUUGAGGACGCAUGAGCGAGCGAAUUAUUCCACUGAUUAUGUGCGGCGGUGCAGGCACGCGGCUGUGGCCUGCUUCGCGUGAAGGGCGUCCGAAGCAAUUCCUUCGCCUAUUUGGUUCGAAUUCGACGUUUCAGGACACGAUGCUGCGCGUAAGUGAUCCGAAGCUGUUCGCGCGGCCCAUCGUCAUUACCAAUGCGGCCUAUCGCUUCAUGGUGCUCGAACAGCUCAGCGAAAUCGGUCUCGAAGCGGAUAUUCUUC